This 498-nucleotide ribosomal RNA is filed under the name uncultured bacterium. RNAcentral's name for it is "partial 16S ribosomal RNA". It matches the Rfam family "Bacterial small subunit ribosomal RNA", at positions 30 to 523 of the family's 1533-position model. The record is from RNAcentral.
AUUGAGCGCUGGCGGCAUGCCUUACACAUGCAAGUCGAACGGUAACAGGUCUUCGGACGCUGACGAGUGGCGAACGGGUGAGUAAUACAUCGGAACGUGCCUAGUAGUGGGGGAUAACUACUCGAAAGAGUGGCUAAUACCGCAUGAGAUCUACGGAGGAAAACAGGGGAUCGCAAGACCUUGUGCUACUCGAGCGGCCGAUGGGAGAUUAGGUAGUUGGUGGGAUAAAAGCUUACCAAGCCGACGAUCUGUAGCUGGUCUGAGAGGACGAUCAGCCACACUGGGACUGAGACACGGCCCAGACUCCUACGGGAGGCAGCAGUGGGGAAUUUUGGACAAUGGGCGAAAGCCUGAUCCAGCAAUGCCGCGUGCAGGAUGAAGGCCUUCGGGUUGUAAACUGCUUUUUUACGGAACGAAAAGCCCCGGGUUAAUACCCUGGGGUCAUGACGGUACCGUAAGAAUAAGCACCGGCUAACUACGUGCCAGCCGCCGCAGUAA